Molecule: ribosomal RNA, 468 nt
Filed under: uncultured bacterium
Lineage: Bacteria
Description: partial 16S ribosomal RNA
Rfam family: Bacterial small subunit ribosomal RNA
Source: RNAcentral
GACGAACGCUGGCGGCGUGCUUAACACAUGCAAGUCGAACGGAAAGGCCCUGCUUUUGUGUGGUGCUCGAGUGGCGAACGGGUGAGUAACACGUGAGUAACCUUCCCUUGACUUUGGGAUAACUUCAGGAAACUGGGGCUAAUACCGGAUAGGAGCUCCUGCUGCUUGGUGGGGGUUGGAAAGUUUAGGCGGUUGGGGAUGGACUCGCGGCUUAUCAGCUUGUUGGUGGGGUAGUGGCUUACCAAGGCUUUGACGGGUAGCCGGCCUGAGAGGGUGACCGGCCACCUGGGGACUGCGAUACGGACCAGACUGCUACGGGAGGCAGCAGUGGAGAAUAUUGCACAGUGGGCGGAAGCCUGAUGCAGCAACGCCGCGUGCGGGAUGAAGGCCUACGGGUUAUAAACCGCUUUCGCCUGUGACGAAGCGUGAGUGACGGUAAUGGGUAAAGAAGCACCGGCUAACUACGUG